This 497-nucleotide ribosomal RNA is filed under the name uncultured bacterium. RNAcentral describes it as "partial 16S ribosomal RNA". It matches the Rfam family "Bacterial small subunit ribosomal RNA", at positions 28 to 507 of the family's 1533-position model. The record is from RNAcentral.
GAUGAACGCUGGCGGCGUGCCUAAUACAUGCAAGUCGAGCGAACAGAUGAGGAGCUUGCUCCUCUGACGUUAGCGGCGGACGGGUGAGUAACACGUGGAUAACCUACCUAUAAGACUGGGAUAACUUCGGGAAACCGGAGCUAAUACCGGAUAAUAUAUUGAACCGCAUGGUUCAAUAGUGAAAGACGGUUUUGCUGUCACUUAUAGAUGGAUCCGCGCCGCAUUAGCUAGUUGGUAAGGUAACGGCUUACCAAGGCGACGAUGCGUAGCCGACCUGAGAGGGGGAUCGGCCACCCUGGAACUGAGACACGGACCAGACGCCUACGGGAGGCAGCAGUAGGGAAUCUUCCGCAAUGGGCGAAAGCCUGACGGAGCAACGCCGCGUGAGUGAUGAAGGUCUUCGGAUCGUAAAACUCUGUUAUGAGUGAAGAACAAAUGUGUAAGUAACUAUGCACGUCUUGACGGUACCGAAUCAGAAAGCCACGGCUAACUACGUG